Molecule: long non-coding RNA, 1700 nt
Filed under: Apis mellifera (honey bee)
Lineage: Eukaryota; Metazoa; Arthropoda; Insecta; Hymenoptera; Apidae
Description: uncharacterized LOC107965433
Source: RNAcentral
CAAAUCAAAUAUUAUUAUUAUUAUACACACACAUUUAUUUUAUAUAUACAUUUAUAUAUACACACAUACACACACAAGAGUGGACACGAUUUACGAUUAAUAUCCAACCUCGAUGACAUCAAAUCACUAUUUGCUUUCACGAAAUGAAUAAUAAACACAAUUCAAACGUAAUGAUAGAUUCAUAUAAAAAAAGAAAAAACCGUGGAUUGAAGUGGAUGAUACGAAAUAAAUAUCGAUACAAUUCGUACACGUACAAAAAAAAGGACAAUUUGACAAUUGUAACAUUUCUUUGAAAUCGUCGUGGAAUCGAUACAUUGAUUUAUCACGUGUAAUAUAAACGACACGAAGCAAAUAAAUACAAGAGUAAGAUGAAACGUAAGCUUUAAGAUUGAUGUUUCUUCCGAUCUCUAACGUUUUAAUUAGGCUAAUUUAUUAGGGUAAGUAACUGGGGCCCACUAUGAACAGUUUGGGGAUGACGUUCGUCACGAAACGGGUCACGCGACUAACGUGUCCGUUAAUUGCUUACACGGGCUCAAGUUUAUGUCAGGUCAACAGCUUAAGGGGCUAAGUCGCUGAAAGCGCGCUUAAUUGCCCAAGUUGCGAUAAUUCCUGACUUCCUUAAUUGCAGAAACAUGAUUCAAACGAGCGGAAGUGAACUUUCUACGAAAGAUGUUGGGAUCGAGACGAAGAGAUUUACCUGAUUUAUCUUCGAUUGUUGAUUACCCAAUUGCAGUACAAAAAAUUUUAAUAAUUAAUCGGAUUAACGAGAUUCGUUUUAUCCAGAAAUACUUACGUGAAAGCACAGAAUUGGGAAAUUUAACCAAUAUGUCAAAAAAAAAAAUACGAAUAAAUAACAAUUAAGAAAAACUGAAGAAAUAGUAACACAGGAAAUAGAGUCUCAACUUUCGAAUUUGAUGAGAAUCGUAGAUAUCUCGAAUCCCAAUUAUUCUUUCGAUUCCCACACGAGAAAAAGAGGGCAAAAAUCAAUAUUCUAUAGUCAAUAAAAUAUUCAGUCCAAUCUGAAUUGUCAAUCGUCAUACGCUUGAGAUCAAACACCACUUUCGAUAAAAAUAAAAACCUGUUCCAAUACACCAAGAACACUUGAUUGUCAUCUUAACGAUCUCCCUUUAGAAAUAAUUCCCGCCAAUUAUUAAAGCGGUUAACGAUGCAGAGAGAUCACAAAGCGGUCCAACAUUUGUAUUCUUCUCAAAGAAUGUGUUCUCGAUUCGUCGAUGUUUUGUCAACAUUCAGAGAGACGAGUGAGCGUACAAAUGUCCAUCCAACCGAGUAACGAGCUGGCACCGAUAUAAUCCUUUGAUGGUCUUUUGAUGAACAGGGAGAGGGUGGGGCCAUGAUGCGCUCGAUUCAUUAGAUCUCUCUGCCAACCACUGUUCUGUCAAUGGAUAGCGUAUCCGCACGCGAACGUACAUGUGUUCAUGUGCGUGCAGGAUGUGCCCGGAGCGUGGAACUCUGUGCAUCGAGUCAAGAUUUACAUAUAUGAUUCAGCUUAGUAAUAUUAACUGUAUGCAUGAGAGCGGAACUCCUGUUUCUGAUCAUCCAUGAGAGUUAAUUUAACGUGUAUAUAGUGUGUAUAUAGAGCGUGUGUCGACGUAUCCCGAUGUAUUGAGACGGGGAUUAAUUAAGUUGCGAAUAAUAAAUUUUAACUCUGGUUAUUAGAGGCUAGAUUAAUUUCAUCCGAA